UAGGAAUGACCUUAUAAGUUGAUCACCCCAAUUGUUUAAUCUUCACUAAGCACUACUAUGAAGUCAAGCUAGGUGUAAACACGCAGCUUCUCUGUGUCAGAGAAACUAAUGUGUAAGCACUGUAUCCAGAUUAGCAUUUACAAUAAUUCAUUUCUCAUCUCUACUCAUUUUCAAAAAUUAAAACAUCUUGGUUAAAAGAAUUAGUCUUUUUUUAAUAGAAAUAAGUAUGCCAUUUAUC
RNAcentral lists this long non-coding RNA (238 nucleotides) under Bos taurus (domestic cattle). Its description in RNAcentral is "long non-coding RNA NONBTAT022325". The record is from RNAcentral. Lineage: Eukaryota; Metazoa; Chordata; Mammalia; Artiodactyla; Bovidae.